UCUCAAAAUCAUUCCAAAACAGGCUCUAAAUAUUGGUUAUGAGCCUGUUUGGGAGUGAUUUUGAGAA
RNAcentral lists this small RNA (67 nucleotides) under Olea europaea subsp. europaea. The record is from RNAcentral. Lineage: Eukaryota; Viridiplantae; Streptophyta; Magnoliopsida; Lamiales; Oleaceae.